ACAUUAACAGUCCUAACAUAAAGUCAGCUUUGUUGAUGCUAUAAACCCCAACCGACGGAAACCCGAGCGCAAAACCGUUCACGACAACCGCAGCCCUAAAGUUCAGCAAGUCAACUGCAGACCUACUAUUAUUUUCAUGGAAGUUCCAGAAGAAGGGAGGAAUAUAAAGAGUUCCAAAUAUUCACAGGAGUCGACAUGGAGGAGGUUCUUAAACAUGUGUCAAAGAUGGCUGUCGAUGGAAAGAUGUGUUGCUAGAACCCUCUCCCAGUGGCCAGCAUUACAAGCUUACUUUAACAGCAGUGAUGACAAGGAAAAGCCUGGUCAUGUCAAACGAUGUGCUGAUGCCUAUGUAAGUGAAGAGAUGAAGCUCAUGUAUUACUUUCUCCAGUAUGCUCUCACAAAGUUGAAUAAGUUCAAUAUUCUCUUUCAGUCUCAUGACUGUCGUGUACUUGAGCUAGAGAAGGAAACAGAGGGUCUUUUGAAGGCUUACGUUCUGAACUUCAUGAAAGUGGAUGCUGUGAAUAUUGAUGACCUAUCAAAAGUAGAUUAUAAGUGUGAAGAACAGCAGAAAUCUGAUGAUCUCACCAUUGGCAUACAAGCUUCCAGAUACUUGGAAUCCAUCAGUGAGGACUGUGAUCCUGCGAUUAUUACCUGUUUCUAUAGGAGUGUAAGAGCUGCAUAUGUUGCUGCUGUGGAAAAGUUUUUAAAGAAGUUUCCCUUUGGAAACCCAAUAUUGAAGUCAGUAAGAAUUCUAAAUCCAUUACACAGGACUGAUGUGACAGAAAGAGAAGCAGGGAAGGAACGCACGUCUGGCCCAUUGACAGCGAGGAAAAGAAGGCUGUCAGUGUGGAUACAUUCAUUCUGUUGCGCUCAUCAAUAAGGAUGUGAUUCAUGGCGCUAAAUCCAUGUUCACACUCUGGAUAUUGUUAUUAUCUACAAUGUAUCUAUUUGCUGGGGACGUUCGUGAACAUCAAAGCUGCCACUUCGGGUCAUUUUGAAAGUGCUGGGACAGCAGGUAGUGGAUGAACAUGUUCCAGAUGUUUCUCUCAUUGGGGAGAUGGGGGAUGCGACAGAACUGGGUCGGCUGGUGCAGUUGGUGCUGGGCUGCACAGUCAGCUGCGAGAAGAAGCAAAGUACCCUGGGAGACCAGACAGCUGUCCACCUUGCAGUCCAAAGCAAUCACGAGGAGCAAACGUUCACAGAAAUGUAUUUUCUCUGAUGAGUUGAAGGUUAUAUAACAGCAGCUCUGACAGUGAUGCAGCUGCAAAUCACAGUGCUUGUUCUAACACACUAUCGUUACUAUAGAAACGGCUUUGGUAAAAUAAGGGUGGGUGGAUGGACAGGUGAUAAAGACUCUGGACCCUCAGCAGAA
Molecule: RNA transcript, 1372 nt
Organism: Neoarius graeffei (lesser salmon catfish)
Lineage: Eukaryota; Metazoa; Chordata; Actinopteri; Siluriformes; Ariidae
Exons: 6
Source: RefSeq, a predicted model, not a curated record